GUGAGGAAUAUUGGUCAAUGGACGAGAGUCUGAACCAGCCAAGUAGCGUGAAGGAUGAAGGUCCUACGGAUUGUAAACUUCUUUUAUAAGGGAAUAAACCCUCCCACGUGUGGGAGCUUGUAUGUACCUUAUGAAUAAGCAUCGGCUAACUCCGUGCCAGCAGCCGCGGUAAUACGGAGGAUGCGAGCGUUAUCCGGAUUUAUUGGGUUUAAAGGGAGCGUAGGCGGAUUGUUAAGUCAGUUGUGAAAGUUUGCGGCUCAACCGUAAAAUUGCAGUUGAUACUGGCAGUCUUGAGUGCAGUAGAGGUGGGCGGAAUUCGUGGUGUAGCGGUGAAAUGCUUAGAUAUCACGAAGAACUCCGAUUGCGAAGGCAGCACACUAAUCCGUAACUGACGUUCAUGCUCGAAAGUGUGGGUAUCAAACAGGAUUAGAAACCCCGGUAGUCC
Molecule: ribosomal RNA, 445 nt
Filed under: uncultured bacterium
Lineage: Bacteria
Description: bacterial SSU rRNA
Rfam family: Bacterial small subunit ribosomal RNA
Source: RNAcentral